RNAcentral lists this ribosomal RNA (407 nucleotides) under uncultured prokaryote. RNAcentral describes it as "bacterial SSU rRNA". It matches the Rfam family "Bacterial small subunit ribosomal RNA", at positions 355 to 776 of the family's 1533-position model. The record is from RNAcentral.
UGGGGAAUAUUGGGCAAUGGGGGAAACCCUGACCCAGCGACGCCGCGUGAGCGAAGAAGGCCUUCGGGUUGUAAAGCUCUGUCUGGAGGGACGAAAGAAAUGACGGUACCUCCGGAGGAAGCCACGGCUAACUACGUGCCAGCAGCCGCGGUAAUACGUAGGUGGCGAGCGUUGUCCGGAAUUACUGGGUGUAAAGGGCGUGUAGGCGGGAAAGCAAGUCAGAUGUGAAAUACCGGGGCUUAACUCCGGGGCUGCAUCUGAAACUGUUUUUCUUGAGUGUCGGAGAGGAAAGCGGAAUUCCUAGUGUAGCGGUGAAAUGCGUAGAUAUUAGGAGGAACACCAGUGGCGAAGGCGGCUUUCUGGACGACAACUGACGCUGAGGCGCGAAAGCGUGGGGAGCAAACAGG